This 908-nucleotide ribosomal RNA is filed under the name Rhizobium sp. DC-Ad-5-3. RNAcentral describes it as "bacterial SSU rRNA". It matches the Rfam family "Bacterial small subunit ribosomal RNA", at positions 59 to 945 of the family's 1533-position model. The record is from RNAcentral. Lineage: Bacteria; Pseudomonadati; Pseudomonadota; Alphaproteobacteria; Hyphomicrobiales; Rhizobiaceae.
AUGGGGAGCUCCCAACGCCCCCGUCUAGGGUGGAAGCGCGCCGCACGUGGUUGAGUUAACGUCGUGGGGAAUCUUACCCCCUUGUACCUACGGGAAUAACGCAGGGCAAACAUUGAUGCCUAAUACCGUAUGCUGUCCUUUCGAGGAGAUAAGAUUUAUCGGUCAAGGAUGAGCCCGCGUUUGGAUUAGCUAGCUUGGUGGGGUAAAGGCCUACCACGGCGACGAUCCAUAGCUGGUCUGAGAGGAUGAUCAGCCACAUUGGGACUGAGACACGGCCCAAACUCCUACGGGAGGCAGCAGUGGGGAAUAUUGGACAAUGGGCGCAAGCCUGAUCCAGCCAUGCCGCGUGAGUGAUGAAGGCCCUAGGGUUGUAAAGCUCUUUCACCGGAGAAGAUAAUGACGGUAUCCGGAGAAGAAGCCCCGGCUAACUUCGUGCCAGCAGCCGCGGUAAUACGAAGGGGGCUAGCGUUGUUCUGAAUUACUGGGCGUAAAGCGCACGUAGGCGGAUCGAUCAGUUCAGGGGUGAAAUCCCAGGGCUCAACCCUGGAACUGCCUUUGAUAUUGUCGAUCUGGAGUAUGGAAGAGGUGAGUGGAAUUCUCGAGUGCACAGGUGAAAUUCGUAUAUUUUUCGGAGGAACACCAACUGGCGAAGGCGGCUCACUGGUCCAUUACUGACGCUGAGGUGCGAAAGCCUUGGGGAGCAAAACAGGAUUAGAUUACCCCUGGUACUCCACGCCCGUAAAACGAUGCAAUGUUUAGCCCGUCCGGGCUACUAUUACUGCUUCGGUGGGCGCCAGCUAAACGCAUUUAAACACUUCCGGCCUUGGGUGAUUUCCGGUCCUCAAGAUUUAAAAACUCCACAGGAAUUUGACGGGGGCCCCGCACCAAAGCGGUAGGAGUCAUGUGGG